GACCUAAUGGCAGUCGAUUAAUACACGGUUGUUCUGACGGUACCCAAAGCAUAAGCACCGCCUAACUUCGUGCCACGUGCCGCGGUAAUACGAAGGGUGCAAGCGUUACUCGGAAUUACUGGGCGUAAAGCGUGCGUAGGUGGUUGUUUAACUCUGUUGUGAAAGCCCUGGGCUCAACCUGGGAAUUGCAGUGGAUACUGGGGGACUAGAGUGUGGUAGAGGGUAGUGUAAUUCCCGGUGUAGCAGUGAAAUGGGUAGAGAUCGGGAGGAACAUCCAUGCCGAAGGCAGCUACCUGGACCAACACCGGCCCUGAGGCACGAAAGCGUGGGCAGCAAACAGGAUUAGAUACCCUGGUAGGCUACGCCCUAAACGAUGCGAACUGAAUGUUGGUGCAAUUUGGCAACCCAGAAUUGAAGCUAACCCGCUAAGUUUCGCCGCUCGGUUAGUCC
RNAcentral lists this ribosomal RNA (450 nucleotides) under Achromobacter xylosoxidans. RNAcentral describes it as "SSU rRNA". It matches the Rfam family "Bacterial small subunit ribosomal RNA", at positions 444 to 883 of the family's 1533-position model. Lineage: Bacteria; Pseudomonadati; Pseudomonadota; Betaproteobacteria; Burkholderiales; Alcaligenaceae. The record is from RNAcentral.